Molecule: ribosomal RNA, 834 nt
Filed under: uncultured bacterium
Lineage: Bacteria
Description: bacterial SSU rRNA
Rfam family: Bacterial small subunit ribosomal RNA
Source: RNAcentral
CAGUCGAGGGGUAUAGUUCUUCGGAACUAGAGACCGGCGCACGGGUGCGUAACGCGUAUGCAAUCUACCUUUUACAGAGGGAUAGCCCAGAGAAAUUUGGAUUAAUACCUCAUAGUAUAUAGCCCUGGCAUCAGGAUUAUAUUAAAGUCACAACGGUAAAAGAUGAGCAUGCGUCCCAUUAGCUAGUUGGUAAGGUAACGGCUUACCAAGGCUACGAUGGGUAGGGGUCCUGAGAGGGAGAUCCCCCACACUGGUACUGAGACACGGACCAGACUCCUACGGGAGGCAGCAGUGAGGAAUAUUGGACAAUGGGCGCAAGCCUGAUCCAGCCAUGCCGCGUGCAGGAUGACGGUCCUAUGGACUGUAAACUGCUUUUAUACGAGAAGAAACAUCCCGACGUGUCGGGACUUGACGGUAUCGUAAGAAUAAGGAUCGGCUAACUCCGUGCCAGCAGCCGCGGUAAUACGGAGGAUCCAAGCGUUAUCCGGAAUCAUUGGGUUUAAAGGGUCCGUAGGCGGUUUAAUAAGUCAGUGGUGAAAGCCCAUCGCUCAACGGUGGAACGGCCAUUGAUACUGUUAGACUUGAAUUAUUAGGAAGUAACUAGAAUAUGUAGUGUAGCGGUGAAAUGCUUAGAGAUUACAUGGAAUACCAAUUGCGAAGGCAGGUUACUACUAAUUGAUUGACGCUGAUGGACGAAAGCGUGGGUAGCGAACAGGAUUAGAUACCCUGGUAGUCCACGCCGUANACGAUGGAUACUAGCUGUUGGAAGCAAUUUCAGUGGCUAAGCGAAAGUGAUAAGUAUCCCACCUGGGGAGUACGUUCGCAAGAAUGAAA